AUAUUGGUCAAUGGACGAGAGUCUGAACCAGCCAAGUAGCGUGAGGGAUGACUGCCCUAUGGGUUGUAAACCUCUUUUAUAAGGGAAGAAUAAGUUCUACGUGUAGAAUGAUGCCUGUACCUUAUGAAUAAGCAUCGGCUAACUCCGUGCCAGCAGCCGCGGUAAUACGGAGGAUGCGAGCGUUAUCCGGAUUUAUUGGGUUUAAAGGGUGCGUAGGCGGUUUAUUAAGUUAGUGGUUAAAUAUUUGAGCUAAACUCAAUUGUGCCAUUAAUACUGGUAAACUGGAGUACAGACGAGGUAGGCGGAAUAAGUUAAGUAGCGGUGAAAUGCAUAGAUAUAACUUAGAACUCCGAUAGCGAAGGCAGCUUACCAGACUGUAACUGACGCUGAUGCACGAGAGCGUGGGUAGCGAACAGGAUUAGAUACCCUGGUAGUCCACGCCGUAAACGAUGCUCACUGGUUCUGUGCGAUAUAUUGUACGGGAUUAAGCGAAAGUAUUAAGUGAGCCACCUGGGGAGUACGUCGGCAACGAUGAAACUCAAAGGAAUUGACGGGGGCCCGCACAAGCGGAGGAACAUGUGGUUUAAUUCGAUGAUACGCGAGGAACCUUACCUGGGUUUAAAUGGGAAAUGUCGUAUUUGGAAACAGAUAUUCUCUUCGGAGCGUUUUUCAAGGUGCUGCAUGGUUGUCGUCAGCUCGUGCCGUGAGGUGUCGGGUUAAGUCCCAUAACGAGCGCAACCCUUACCGUUAGUUGCUAGCAUGUAAUGAUGAGCACUCUAACGGGACUGCCACCGUAAGGUGAGAGGAAGGCGGGGAUGACGUCAAAUCAGCACGGCCCUUACACCCAGGGCUACACACGUGUUACAAUGGCCGGUACAGAGGGCCGCUACCAGGUGACUGGAUGCCAAUCUCAAAAGCCGGUCGUAGUUCGGAUUGGAGUCUGUAACCCGACUCCAUGAAGUUGGAUUCGCUAGUAAUCGCGCAUCAGCC
This 990-nucleotide ribosomal RNA is filed under the name human gut metagenome. RNAcentral describes it as "bacterial SSU rRNA". It matches the Rfam family "Bacterial small subunit ribosomal RNA", at positions 361 to 1354 of the family's 1533-position model. The record is from RNAcentral.